This 548-nucleotide ribosomal RNA is filed under the name Cyrtomenus emarginatus. Its description in RNAcentral is "SSU rRNA". It matches the Rfam family "Eukaryotic small subunit ribosomal RNA", at positions 375 to 836 of the family's 1831-position model. Lineage: Eukaryota; Metazoa; Arthropoda; Insecta; Hemiptera; Cydnidae. The record is from RNAcentral.
GUUCGAUUCCGGAGAGGGAGCCUGAGAAACGGCUACCACAUCCAAGGAAGGCAGCAGGCACGCAAAUUACCCACUCCCGGCACGGGGAGGUAGUGACAAAAAAUAACGAUACGGGACUCAUCCGAGGCCCCGUAAUCGGAAUGAGAACACCCUAAAUCCUUUAACGAGGAUCUAUUGGAGGGCAAGUCUGGUGCCAGCAGCCGCGGUAAUUCCAGCUCCAAUAGCGUAUAUUAAAGUUGUUGCGGUUAAAAAGCUCGUAGUUGGUUCUGCGUGCCACGCUGUCGGUUCACCGCCUGUCGGUGCAACUGGCAUGCCGUGGCAUGUCCUGUCGGUGGCUGAAAGGCUUCGCGGCGCGCCCUAUGCGUUUACGCGUGUAGGUCGUCGCGCCGCGUUGUCCUUGUAGGCCGGCUCAAUCCUACCGCGGUGCUCUUUGCCGAGUGUCGAGGUAGGCCGACACUGUUUACUUUGAACAAAUUAGAGUGCUUCAAGCAGGCUCUGAAAGCAGCCUGAAUAGUGGUGCAUGGAAUAAUGGAACAGGACCUUGGUUC